GAUGAACGCUGGCGGCGUGCUUAACACAUGCAAGUCGAACGGAAAGGCCCUGCGUUUGUCGUGUGCCCGAGUGGCGAACGGGUGAGUAACCCGUGAGUAACCUGCCCUUGACUGUGGGAUAACUUCAGGAAACUGGGGCUAAUCCCGGUUAGGUGCUCCUGCUGCAUGGUGGGGGUUUGAAAGUUUCGGCGGUGUGUGAGGGGCUCGCGGCUUAUCAGCUUGUGGGUGAGGUGUCGGCUUACCAGGGCGAUGACGGGUAGGGGGUCUGAGAGGGAGACCCACCACACGGGGACUGAGAAACGGGCGCGACUCCUACGGGAGGCAGCAGUAAGGAAGAUUGGACAAUGGGGGAAAGCCGGAUCCAGCCAUGCCGGGUGCAGGAAGAAGGCCCUAGGGGUGGUAAACUGCUUUUGAGAGGGAGAAAUAAGGGCGAUGCGUCGCUCGAUGAUAGUACUUCUCGAAUAAGCAUCGGCUAACUUCGUG
RNAcentral lists this ribosomal RNA (483 nucleotides) under uncultured bacterium. RNAcentral describes it as "partial 16S ribosomal RNA". It matches the Rfam family "Bacterial small subunit ribosomal RNA", at positions 28 to 507 of the family's 1533-position model. The record is from RNAcentral.